CCAAAGGGUUAUUGCCUUACAACGGCGAGUGAAGCGGCAAAAGCUCAAAUUUGAAAUCUGGCACCUUCGGUGUCCGAGUUGUAAUUUGAAGAAGGUAACUUUGGAGUUGGCUCUUGUCUAUGUUCCUUGGAACAGGACGUCACAGAGGGUGAGAAUCCCGUGCGAUGAGAUGCCCAAUUCUAUGUAAAGUGCUUUCGAAGAGUCGAGUUGUUUGGGAAUGCAGCUCUAAGUGGGUGGUAAAUUCCAUCUAAAGCUAAAUAUUGGCGAGAGACCGAUAGCGAACAAGUACAGUGAUGGAAAGAUGAAAAGAACUUUGAAAAGAGAGUGAAAAAGUACGUGAAAUUGUUGAAAGGGAAGGGCUUGAGAUCAGACUUGGUAUUUUGCGAUCCUUUCCUUCUUGGUUGGGUUCCUCGCAGCUUACUGGGCCAGCAUCGGUUUGGAUGGUAGGAUAAUGACUAAGGAAUGUGGCUCUACUUCGGUGGAGUGUUAUAGCCUUGGUUGAUACUGCCUGUCUAGACCGAGGACUGCGUCUUUUGACUAGGAUGUUGGCAUAAUGAUCUUAAGCCACCCCUCUUGAACCAACGAACCAAAAAAAAAAUAAAAAAAGGGCACAGCGGGGGGCACCGGUCUUGGUGUAAUGGGUAGGGGUCGAUGAAAUACUUUUU
Molecule: ribosomal RNA, 665 nt
Filed under: Debaryomyces hansenii
Lineage: Eukaryota; Fungi; Ascomycota; Pichiomycetes; Serinales; Debaryomycetaceae
Description: LSU rRNA
Rfam family: Eukaryotic large subunit ribosomal RNA (bases 1-584)
Source: RNAcentral